Molecule: ribosomal RNA, 495 nt
Filed under: uncultured bacterium
Lineage: Bacteria
Description: partial 16S ribosomal RNA
Rfam family: Bacterial small subunit ribosomal RNA
Source: RNAcentral
GACGAACGCUGGCGGCGUGCCUAAUACAUGCGAGUAGAACGCUGAAGGAGGAGCUUGCUUCUCUGGAUGAGUUGCGAACGGGUGAGUAACGCGUAGGUAACCUGCCUGGUAGCGGGGGAUAACUAUUGGAAACGAUAGCUAAUACCGCAUAAUAGUAGAUGUUGCAUGACAUUUGCUUAAAAGGUGCAAUUGCAUCACUACCAGAUGGACCUGCGUUGUAUUAGCUAGUUGGUGGGGUAACGGCUCACCAAGGCGACGAUACAUAGCCGACCUGAGAGGGGGAUCGGCCACACUGGGACUGAGACACGGCCCAGACUCCUACGGGAGGCAGCAGUAGGGAAUCUUCGGCAAUGGACGGAAGUCUGACCGAGCAACGCCGCGUGAGUGAAGAAGGGUUUCGGAUCGUAAAGCUCUGUUGUAAGAGAAGAACGAGUGUGAGAGUGGAAAGUUCACACUGUGACGGUAUCUUACCAGAAAGGGACGGCUAACUACGUG